Molecule: ribosomal RNA, 693 nt
Filed under: mouse gut metagenome
Description: bacterial SSU rRNA
Rfam family: Bacterial small subunit ribosomal RNA
Source: RNAcentral
GGGUUUCCGCCCUUCAGUGCCGGAGCUAACGCAUUAAGCACUCCGCCGGGGGAGUACGACCGCAAGGUUGAAACUCAAAGGAAUUGACGGGGGCCCGCACAAGCGGUGGAGCAUGUGGUUUAAUUCGAAGCUACGCGAAGAACCUUACCAGGUCUUGACAUCUUGCGCUAACCUUAGAGAUAAGGCGUUCCCUUCGGGGACGCAAUGACAGGUGGUGCAUGGUCGUCGUCAGCUCGUGUCGUGAGAUGUUGGGUUAAGUCCCGCAACGAGCGCAACCCUUGUUACUAGUUGCCAGCAUUAAGUUGGGCACUCUAGUGAGACUGCCGGUGACAAACCGGAGGAAGGUGGGGACGACGUCAGAUCAUCAUGCCCCUUAUGACCUGGGCUACACACGUGCUACAAUGGACGGUACAACGAGUCGCAAGCUCGCGAGAGUAAGCUAAUCUCUUAAAGCCGUUCUCAGUUCGGACUGUAGGCUGCAACUCGCCUACACGAAGUCGGAAUCGCUAGUAAUCGCGGAUCAGCAUGCCGCGGUGAAUACGUUCCCGGGCCUUGUACACACCGCCCGUCACACCAUGGGAGUUUGUAACGCCCAAAGUCGGUGGCCUAACCUUUAUGGAGGGAGCCGCCUAAGGCGGGACAGAUGACUGGGGUGAAGUCGUAACAAGGUAGCCGUAGGAGAACCUGCGGCUG